UACAGGACUGGCUGCAGUCAGCCCAUGAGUUUGCUCAUCAUUAGGCUUUGCAGGACCCUGUUACGUAGUGAAGAGGCUUGGAGAGUCUGUUUACCAUGUUCGGAAGAGACCUGGGGGUGGUGGUUUCAUACCGGGACAGGAUUUCUACAUAUAUGGGAGAACAGCAGCCCUUCAAGAGCAAAGGUCAACGGCAGACUGCUGGGGCAACCCACCCUGCACACGGACAAGGGGUGGAGAAACUCAGCAGGAAACAAACCACAGCCCAUUGGGUGCUUGCAAAACGGAUUCUCAUCUCUUGUCUGUUUCUCCUGGGAAAGUGCAGAAUGUCACAAUAUGUUACAAGCUUCUGAUCAGAUAAAAUCUUUUGACAUGCGCAUACUACAUUAAUAUGCGUUUCCCGCUGUUGUCACACACUGUUUUAAAAAGCACACAAGAUAUUCAUCUACUUUGUGUUAUAAUUAGGUGAUGACCAGCACAUGAACUGUUGUGCAGUACUGCUUACUUUAUAAAACAGCAAAAGUGCUCUUUCCUGUACCCAAAACCAGCUAUCUGUUAAUGAGGGUCUCAAGGACUGGUGGGACGUUGUCCUGCUCCCCUUCACAGAUGCUGAGUGAAAGGGGAAUUUUAUGAUGAUAAAACACUCAUUUAUGAUACUUCUUCCACCAGAAAUGACAGCUCGUUCCGUGCAUCAUACAUUAUUAUGCUAUUUUUACAUCACUGCACAUGCGCAGUACUUUCCAGUUUUGGUUUUCAAUCUGAUCAAGUGUUUACGUGUCCUCUCACUUGGAUUAUAAAAACAAUAAACCACCCCUUACAAUGCGAUCGAAAUUUUAGUCAGACAUGGCCAAUUCAGUCCCACUGACAUGGUUACAUGUGAUUUUUUUUAAUUCUGACUGUGCUUCUAGUCCUAUUACAAUCGGAUUAGUAGGGUCCAUGUAAAAGGAACUACUGUUAAUUGAUUGCUGAGGUGUCAUGGCUUAAUCAGUGGUUUGCAGUGAUUUAAGAACUAAGAGCUAAGAGCAUUGUUAGGCAUAAUGAGGAACAUAGUUAAAUGUUCCAAAACAUAGUUAUUACAUAUGUUUA
Carassius gibelio (silver crucian carp) is the source of this 1083-nucleotide long non-coding RNA. RefSeq lists it as uncharacterized. The record is from RefSeq and is a predicted model, not a curated record. The transcript has 2 exons. NCBI's taxonomy places the organism in Eukaryota, Metazoa, Chordata, Actinopteri, Cypriniformes, Cyprinidae.